UGAUUAGUUUAUUAUUUUAUUUCUAUUUAUUACUUUAUUUGAAAUAACUUACUUUAUUUAGUAUUUUUAUUGAAAUAUAUUUUUUAAUAAUAGUUUAUUUUGUACUGUGAAGGGUAUUAAUCUUUUCUUAUCUAAGUAUAUAUUUAUAUAGUACCUUUUGUAUCAGGGUUUAUCAAUUAAGUUGUAUAUAUUUAUAUUUUUCCCGAAGUGUUAAGAUAUAAAUCUAAAUGAUUUUUUAUGUUUCAUAAUGAUUUUGAAUUUAGAUUUAGGGGUUAUAUGCUAUUCAAUUUUCAAUAUCUGGUUUUUUAAUAAAUGAAUUCAAUUCAGGAUCUACUUUUGGUUAAUUUACAAUUUUAUUUUAUUUUAAUUUGUAUAUCUAAAUUGUUUGGGGAUAAGCUUGAACUAUUCUUUAUAACCUUUUAUUAUUUAUAUUUAUUGUAGGCUUAAUAACAGCCAUCUUUAAUUUCGUUAUAGUUUAUUUUAUUUCUAUAUUUAUUUAAUUUAGGUUUAAUUUUUUAUUAAAAUUUGGUUUUUAUCUCCAUAUAUCUAGUAAUCAUGAUAAAAUUAGUAGUUAUGUUUAAUUAAAUGUAGUAAUUCGGCAAAUUCUAUCUCUGCCUGUUUAACAAAAACAUGUCCUAUAGAAUUAAUUUUAGGUCUGUCCUGCUCAAUGAUUUAUUAAAUAGCCGCAGUAUACUGACUGUGCAAAGGUAGCAUAAUCAUUUGUCUUUUAAUUGGAGGCUUGUAUGAAGGGUUUGACAAGGGAUAAUCUUUCUUCAUUUAAUUUUAUGAAUUUAAUUUUUUAGUGAAAAAGCUUAAAUGUUAUUGUGGGACGAGAAGACCCUAUAGAAUUUUACUUUGUAAUUAUAUUCUUUAUUUCUAUUUAUUAACUCUAGUAUAUAAUUAUUCUUAGUUUUGUUGGGGUGACCUUGAAAUUUUUUUAACUUUCAUUAAUUAUUUUUCAUUAAUUUAUGUAUUUAGGAUCCUACAAUGUGGAUUAAAAGAUUAAAUUACCUUAGGGAUAACAGCGUAAUUCCUUUGGAGAGUUCUUAUCGAUAAAGGAGUUUGCGACCUCGAUGUUGGAUUAAAGUUAGUUUUGGGUGUAGGAGCUCAAUAUACUGGGUCUGUUCGACCUUUAAAUCUUUACAUGAUCUGAGUUCAGACCGGCGUGAGCCAGGUUGGUUUCUAUCUACAAUUAUUUUAUUACAUAUUUUAGUACGAAAGGACCAAUUAUGUAUAAUAUUUAUAUUAAGACUGAUUAAUAUUAAA
Molecule: ribosomal RNA, 1266 nt
Filed under: Henestaris halophilus
Lineage: Eukaryota; Metazoa; Arthropoda; Insecta; Hemiptera; Lygaeidae
Description: 16S ribosomal RNA
Rfam family: Archaeal large subunit ribosomal RNA (bases 823-1192)
Source: RNAcentral